Molecule: non-coding RNA, 91 nt
Organism: Mycena galericulata
Lineage: Eukaryota; Fungi; Basidiomycota; Agaricomycetes; Agaricales; Mycenaceae
Source: the annotation of a GenBank genome assembly
GCACCGGUGGUGUAUGGUACACGCAGUCACCUCGUGUGCCUUCCCUUUAUGAGCAGUGGUUGAGUCCGGGGUUCGAUUCCCCGCUGGUGCA